Long non-coding RNA from Xenopus laevis (African clawed frog), 2104 nucleotides. RefSeq lists it as uncharacterized. The record is from RefSeq and is a predicted model, not a curated record. Lineage: Eukaryota; Metazoa; Chordata; Amphibia; Anura; Pipidae. The transcript is spliced from 4 exons.
UUUUUUUUUUUUAAACUUGUAGGGGCGCCUUUAGCCAGUUUUUUUUUUGCUGUGUUAGUACUUGAGUUGCCCAGAAACUUUUGCUGUAUGGAGUCAUGUGAUUUCUGAUGACAGCCCUGUUAGCAAGUAGUUAGUAUGAUUAAUACAGCAGUACAGGUUCUCCAGUGGACACUUUCCACUGGCACACAGAACUGUAUUCAAAUGGGAACAGCACCACCAAUUUUCUUCAGAUUAAAAAGUCUUUAAUGCACACGUUAGGUCAUUACAGCAAUGUUUCAGUGCCUGCCUGGCCCUUUAUCAAGCAUGAUAAAGGCAAAGGCGGCUUAUAGAAUAAGUUGGUAAAGGGCCAAUCUGUGGCUGAAACGUUGCUGUAAUGACCUAAAAGUGUGUAUUAAUCACAAUUUAAUACAAAGAAAAUGUGUGGUUCUGUUCCAAUUUGAAUCCACAUACAGCAGAAUGACCACAUAUGAGGAUGAAAGGGUUUGCAUUUAUAAUUUGGAUUUAGCAACACCACUAAAUUUGAAUGUGUUUAGUAUUCUGUUGUAGAAGUAAAACAAGAAUGACAUAAUUUUAAUACUCAAUAUGUAAAUGAAAAUGAUGUUGCCAUGUGUUAAUUUUACUAGGUUUUACAUAUACAUUAAAUAUGGAUACAUUCCAUGAAAUGGAUCAUUAGUUUACAGACAAGUUUCUAUUAUAAGAUCCUAUGUCUUCUACAUACCCUGCAUGUAGGUCUGUGAUAAUUCAAUGUAAAUUCAUGCAUGAUACAUUUGCCUCUCUAUUUUCUAUUCCAUGUGCAUUCUCUGAUGUUUGAUAAGAUUUGAAUACCUUGUGAAAUAUUUCCCGCACUCGCAGCAAAGAAAUGGUUUCUCUCCCGUGUGACUUCUCUGGUGGAUGACAAGUGUGCAGGAAAACCCAUGAUCUGCGAUCAACACCCAUCUUUCUGACACUGGGUACAAUAUUACACUCCUAAAUGCCUUGUUAAAAUGCUUCCUGAUUCCAUGAUGCCAUGCACAGAAUCAAGGCACCCAGUUCUAUGGGCAGCAAAGCAACACCAAAACUGUGGCAAAACUCAGGCCAUUCUCCCAGAUUCAUUUUGACAUUCUCAGAUCGUAGGUCCCGGAGAACCGUAACCCUAACCCCGGAGAAGCAGAUAUUACUAUCGCCCACAAGACACUAACCUGACGAAUGUCACUGCAGGAGUGAGUACCAGUGGGGGGUUCACCGGAGCACCCCAGACAGUGCUUGUUGGGUCCAGCUAGGCAGAUUUUUCCAUAUAGAAGAGGGUGCUCUCAUACUGGGCACACAACAGCAGCCACAUGACCUACAAUCAUAAAGCCUGGCUGAACCAUGAGUCCUAGGGCCAACUGUGUCCACCCAAGCUGCCCAGGAAUACACUGAAAGCCAAGUAAUACAAACGGUAAACAAAUCUAAAGAGCAAUAUGUCUGUGAUUGAAGGAAUGAUAUAUCAAACUCCAAGAAACUCACCAUCUACCAAUCACAAGGGAGGGAAUACAGACUGACCUAAUACCUGAAAAGGCUACAGAACAUCAAAGAGACAGAUCUUGAGCAGUGCAGUACAGUGUACUCAGCCUGGAAACAGAACUGGAAAGGCACCGACAGACUUGCGGGCCCAGGGAGAGCAAACUGUACCAGUGAUGUGACCAGGAGGCAGUGGAGGAUGAGGCUCACUUUUUACUACAGGGCCCCAAAAACUUAGCACUAAGGGACACUUACUCCCAGGGAUUCUCCCAUCAGACUUCACAUCCAUAGAAGAAGAGAGGAAACUCCACACCCUACUGGGAGAAGAGGCACAGUAACAAUGGCUGCAUAAUAUUUAAAAGACCGAGAUAGACAGGACUUUCCCCUAUCCCCACAUACUGUCCGUAAAACUCCCCUCUACCCAGGGCUGGACUGGCGAUCUGGCUCUUCAGGCAAAUGCCCAAGGGGCCACUCCAUUUAAUGCUAAGUGGGCUGCCAAGGAGAAGCCACUGACUUUCCACUGGCCUUUAAAAAUGAAAAAAAAAAAAAAAAAAUUUUUUUUCUUUUAACUUUUAUGGUGGUGGGGGGCCCUGGUCACCAAUGUUUUGUUUUUUGUUUGUUUUUU